CGCUGAACUUAAGCAUAUCAAUAAGCGGAGGAAAAGAAACCAACAGGGAUUGCCUCAGUAACGGCGAGUGAAGCGGCAACAGCUCAAAUUUGAAAUCUGGUUCCUUUCAGGGCCCGAGUUGUAAUUUGUAGAGGAUGUCUUCGGGUCUGGCCCCGGCCUAAGUUCCUUGGAACAGGACGUCACAGAGGGUGAGAAUCCCGUAUGUGGCUGGAGGUCUAUUCCCAUGUGAAGCUCCUUCGACGAGUCGAGUUGUUUGGGAAUGCAGCUCAAAAUGGGUGGUAAGUUUCAUCUAAAGCUAAAUACCGGCGGGAGACCGAUAGCGCACAAGUAGAGUGAUCGAAAGAUGAAAAGCACUUUGGAAAGAGAGUUAAAAAGUACGUGAAAUUGUUGAAAGGGAAGCGCUUGCGACCAGACUUGCCCUCAGUUGAUCAACCGGGGAUAAACUCCGGUGCACUCUGCUGAGGUCAGGCCAGCAUCGGUUUAGGCGGUUGGAGAAAGGCCUUGGGAAUGUGGCUCCUUCCGGGGAGUGUUAUAGCCCAUGGUGCCAUGCGACCAGCCUGGACCGAGGACCGCGCUUCGUGCUAGGAUGCUGGCGUAAUGGUCGUAAGCGACCCGUCUUGAAACACGGACC
This 631-nucleotide ribosomal RNA is filed under the name Glutinoglossum methvenii. Its description in RNAcentral is "eukaryotic LSU rRNA". It matches the Rfam family "Eukaryotic large subunit ribosomal RNA", at positions 26 to 667 of the family's 3401-position model. The record is from RNAcentral. Lineage: Eukaryota; Fungi; Ascomycota; Geoglossomycetes; Geoglossales; Geoglossaceae.